RNAcentral lists this ribosomal RNA (254 nucleotides) under uncultured bacterium. Its description in RNAcentral is "partial 16S ribosomal RNA". It matches the Rfam family "Bacterial small subunit ribosomal RNA", at positions 524 to 776 of the family's 1533-position model. The record is from RNAcentral.
UACGGGGGGAGCAAGCGUUGUUCGGAUUUACUGGGCGUAAAGGGCGCGUAGGCGGCCACCGCAAGUCAGUUGUGAAAUCUCUGGGCUUAACCCAGAAAGGUCAACUGAUACUGCGGGGCUGGAGUGCAGAAGGGGCAACUGGAAUUCUCGGUGUAGCGGUGAAAUGCGUAGAUAUCGAGAGGAACACCUGCGGCGAAGGCGGGUUGCUGGGCUGACACUGACGCUGAAGCGCGAAAGCUAGGGGAGCGAACGGG